This 427-nucleotide ribosomal RNA is filed under the name uncultured prokaryote. Its description in RNAcentral is "bacterial SSU rRNA". It matches the Rfam family "Bacterial small subunit ribosomal RNA", at positions 355 to 774 of the family's 1533-position model. The record is from RNAcentral.
UGGGGAAUAUUGGACAAUGGGGGAAACCCUGAUCCAGCAAUGCCGCGUGUGCGAUGAAGGCCUGCGGGUUGUAAAGCACUUUCGUUGGGGAAGAAAUUAUCAAAUAUAAUACAUUUGAGGGCUGACAUUACCCAAAGAAGAAGCACCGGCAAACUCUGUGCCAGCAGCCGCGGUAAUACAGAGGGUGCAAGCGUUAAUCGGAGUUACUGGGCGUAAAGGGCGCGUAGGCUGGUAUUUAAGUCGAUUGUGAAAUCCCUGGGCUUAACCUAGGAAUUGCAGUCGAUACUGAAUGUCUUGAGUAUGGUAGAGGAAAGUAGAAUUCUCGGUGUAGUGGUUAAAUACGUAGAUAUCGAGAAGAACACCGGUGGCGAAGGCGACUUUCUGGACCAAUACUGACGCUGAGGCGCGAAAGCGUGGGGAGCAAACA